This 781-nucleotide unclassified non-coding RNA is filed under the name Hevea brasiliensis (rubber tree). Lineage: Eukaryota; Viridiplantae; Streptophyta; Magnoliopsida; Malpighiales; Euphorbiaceae. The record is from RNAcentral.
UUGGUGGACUGUUCUUAAGGUAAAUUUUCAUUGCUACUCUUUUUAUAGAUUGAUGCUAAAUAUUCUAUCAUUAACUUGAUCAAUUAUUCUUUUUAAGCAAUAUAACAUUAAAAUUGUUGUUUGGUGUUGUUGGAACAUUUAUGCACUUGGCAUUCCUUUAGUGCAAGGGGUGUUUACCCAGUAACUUUAUCAAUUUGAUGGCCUCUCCUUCUUCUCCUUUGGUUCUUCCUUAGUUCCUUCUCUUUUUCUUCCUCUUAGAGUUGAGGAGGGUGAUGAGAGGUUGGAUCUAAUAGUUAUGUUGUUGAAUUUGUAUGGAAUAAAAAAAACUAUUGAAAUUAUUGCACAAUGACCUUGAAUAUUAGUAAGUUAUUUUGAUAAAAGAAAGUUUUAUUAGAAAGUAGAGAAAUAAUGAUUCUUAGAAGUUCUAGCAUUUCAUUUAGAAUGGGAUGCUAUCGUAUAGGCCACUAUCCGUCAUUUUUUUGGGUUUUCAAUACAGGAGAGGCUCUUUUCCUAUUUUGUGUGUGUAUCUAGCCUGGAUCAGCCAAUACGGAUACAGCAAUUUUGGCUAGCUACACAAAAUAUUCAUGUGUCAUGGUGUGUUUAUCCUCAUAAUUAUGUUAGUAACCUUCAGUUUUGACUUAUGCAGCUAGAAAAGGCAGCUUGAUGGCAUCAACCAGGUGGUUGUUCUCAUGCACAAUGACUGUCUAUCUAUUUGAAGAAAUAUUUGCUCUCUCUGCAAUCUCACUUUGUAAUUGGCAUCAUUAGAAGAUGGAAGAGUAUU